This 122-nucleotide non-coding RNA is filed under the name Chloroflexota bacterium. RNAcentral describes it as "Chloroflexi bacterium MoCo sequence". It matches the Rfam family "Molybdenum/Tungsten riboswitch aptamer (Moco RNA motif)". Lineage: Bacteria; Bacillati; Chloroflexota. The record is from RNAcentral.
AGGAAUUGAACGCUCCGAGCUCUGAUCCCUAAAGGCAGAAGGCCUAUGGGGCAGCAGCCGGCAGGGUAUCGACGGAAACGGCGAUGCCUCCCAAAGUGGAAAGGAGUGUAUGGCAGGGAACU